GUUAUAUGGUCAAGUGAAGAAGCGCAUACGGUGGAUGCCUUGGCAGUCAGAGGCGAUGAAAGACGUGGUAGCCUGCGAAAAGCUUCGGGGAGUCGGCAAACAGACUGUGAUCCGGAGAUGUCUGAAUGGGGGAACCCAGCCAUCAUAAGAUGGUUAUCUUGUACUGAAUACAUAGGUGCAAGAGGCGAACCAGGGGAACUGAAACAUCUAAGUACCCUGAGGAAAAGAAAUCAACCGAGAUUCCCUUAGUAGUGGCGAGCGAACGGGGACCAGCCCUUAAGUUGUAUUGAGAUUAGCGGAACACUCUGGAAAGGGUGGCCAUAGUGGGUGAUAGCCCUGUACGCGAAAAUCCCUUUGCAAUGAAAUCGAGUAGGACGGGGCACGAGAAACCUUGUCUGAAUAUGGGGGGACCAUCCUCCAAGGCUAAAUACUACUGACUGACCGAUAGUGAACCAGUACCGUGAGGGAAAGGCGAAAAGAACCGCGGAGAGCGGAGUGAAAUAGAUCCUGAAACCGUAUGCGUACAAGCAGUGGGAGCCCACUUUGUUGGGUGACUGCGUACCUUUUGUAUAAUGGGUCAGCGACUUAUUUUCAGUGGCGAGCUUAACCGAAUAGGGGAGGCGUAGCGAAAGCGAGUCUUAAUAGGGCGUCUAGUCGCUGGGAAUAGACCCGAAACCGGGCGAUCUAUCCAUGGGCAGGUUGAAGGUUGGGUAACACUAACUGGAGGACCGAACCGACUACCGUUGAAAAGUUAGCGGAUGACCUGUGGAUCGGAGUGAAAGGCUAAUCAAGCUCGGAGAUAGCUGGUUCUCCUCGAAAGCUAUUUAGGUAGCGCCUCAUGUAUCACUGUAGGGGGUAGAGCACUGUUUCGGCUAGGGGGUCAUCCCGACUUACCAAACCGAUGCAAACUCCGAAUACCUACAAGUGCCGAGCAUGGGAGACACACGGCGGGUGCUAACGUCCGUCGUGAAAAGGGAAACAACCCAGACCGUCAGCUAAGGUCCCAAAGUCAUGGUUAAGUGGGAAACGAUGUGGGAAGGCUUAGACAGCUAGGAGGUUGGCUUAGAAGCAGCCACCCUUUAAAGAAAGCGUAAUAGCUCACUAGUCGAGUCGGCCUGCGCGGAAGAUGUAACGGGGCUCAAACCAUGCACCGAAGCUACGGGUAUCAUCUUAGGAUGAUGCGGUAGAGGAGCGUUCUGUAAGCCUGUGAAGGUGAGUUGAGAAGCUUGCUGGAGGUAUCAGAAGUGCGAAUGCUGACAUGAGUAACGACAAUGGGUGUGAAAAACACCCACGCCGAAAGACCAAGGUUUCCUGCGCAACGUUAAUCGACGCAGGGUUAGUCGGUCCCUAAGGCGAGGCUGAAAAGCGUAGUCGAUGGAAAACAGGUUAAUAUUCCUGUACUUCUGGUUAUUGCGAUGGAGGGACGGAGAAGGCUAGGCCAGCCUGGCGUUGGUUGUCCAGGUUUAAGGUGGUAGGCUGAGAUCUUAGGUAAAUCCGGGAUCUUAAGGCCGAGAGCUGAUGACGAGUGUUCUUUUAGAACACGAAGUGGUUGAUGCCAUGCUUCCAAGAAAAGCUUCUAAGCUUCAGGUAACCAGGAACCGUACCCCAAACCGACACAGGUGGUUGGGUAGAGAAUACCAAGGCGCUUGAGAGAACUCGGGUGAAGGAACUAGGCAAAAUGGCACCGUAACUUCGGGAGAAGGUGCGCCGGUGGAGGUGAAGCAUUUACUGCGUAAGCCCCUGCCGGUCGAAGAUACCAGGCCGCUGCGACUGUUUAUUAAAAACACAGCACUCUGCAAACACGAAAGUGGACGUAUAGGGUGUGACGCCUGCCCGGUGCCGGAAGGUUAAUUGAUGGGGUUAGCGCAAGCGAAGCUCUUGAUCGAAGCCCCGGUAAACGGCGGCCGUAACUAUAACGGUCCUAAGGUAGCGAAAUUCCUUGUCGGGUAAGUUCCGACCUGCACGAAUGGCGUAACGAUGGCGGCGCUGUCUCCACCCGAGACUCAGUGAAAUUGAAAUCGCUGUGAAGAUGCAGUGUAUCCGCGGCUAGACGGAAAGACCCCGUGAACCUUUACUAUAGCUUUGCACUGGACUUUGAAUUUGCUUGUGUAGGAUAGGUGGGAGGCUUUGAAGCGUGGACGCCAGUCUGCGUGGAGCCAACCUUGAAAUACCACCCUGGCAACUUUGAGGUUCUAACUCAGGUCCGUUAUCCGGAUCGAGGACAGUGUAUGGUGGGUAGUUUGACUGGGGCGGUCUCCUCCUAAAGAGUAACGGAGGAGUACGAAGGUGCGCUCAGACCGGUCGGAAAUCGGUCGUAGAGUAUAAAGGCAAAAGCGCGCUUGACUGCGAGACAGACACGUCGAGCAGGUACGAAAGUAGGUCUUAGUGAUCCGGUGGUUCUGUAUGGAAGGGCCAUCGCUCAACGGAUAAAAGGUACUCCGGGGAUAACAGGCUGAUACCGCCCAAGAGUUCAUAUCGACGGCGGUGUUUGGCACCUCGAUGUCGGCUCAUCACAUCCUGGGGCUGAAGCCGGUCCCAAGGGUAUGGCUGUUCGCCAUUUAAAGUGGUACGCGAGCUGGGUUUAGAACGUCGUGAGACAGUUCGGUCCCUAUCUGCCGUGGACGUUUGAGAUUUGAGAGGGGCUGCUCCUAGUACGAGAGGACCGGAGUGGACGAACCUCUGGUGUUCCGGUUGUCACGCCAGUGGCAUUGCCGGGUAGCUAUGUUCGGAAAAGAUAACCGCUGAAAGCAUCUAAGCGGGAAACUUGCCUCAAGAUGAGAUCUCACUGGAACCUUGAGUUCCCUGAAGGGCCGUCGAAGACUACGACGUUGAUAGGUUGGGUGUGUAAGCGCUGUGAGGCGUUGAGCUAACCAAUACUAAUUGCCCGUGAGGCUUGACCAUAUAACACCCAAGCAAUU
This 2918-nucleotide ribosomal RNA is filed under the name Pseudomonas syringae pv. syringae. RNAcentral describes it as "bacterial LSU rRNA". It matches the Rfam family "Bacterial large subunit ribosomal RNA". The record is from RNAcentral. RNAcentral also lists the same sequence under 1 other name. Lineage: Bacteria; Pseudomonadati; Pseudomonadota; Gammaproteobacteria; Pseudomonadales; Pseudomonadaceae.